Molecule: ribosomal RNA, 440 nt
Filed under: uncultured bacterium
Lineage: Bacteria
Description: partial 16S ribosomal RNA
Rfam family: Bacterial small subunit ribosomal RNA
Source: RNAcentral
CCUACGGGGGGCAGCAGUAGGGAAUAUUGCUCAAUGGGGGAAACCCUGAAGCAGCAACGCCGCGUGGAGGAUGAAGGUUUUCGGAUUGUAAACUCCUUUUGUUAGAGAAGAUAUUGACGGUAUCUAACGAAUAAGCACCGGCUAACUACGUGCCAGCAGCCGCGGUAAUACGGAGGGUGCAAGCGUUAUUCGGAAUCACUGGGCGUAAAGAGCGCGUAGGCGGGAUAGCAAGUCAGAUGUGAAAUCCUAUGGCUUAACUAUAGAACUGCAUUUGAAACUGUUAUUCUUGAGUAUGGGAGAGGUAAGUGGAAUUCUUGGUGUAGGGGUAAAAUCCGUAGAGAUCAAGAGGAAUACUCGUUGCGAAGGCGAUCUGCUAGAACAUAACUGACGCUGAGGCGCGAAAGCGUGGGGAGCAAACAGGAUUAGAUACCCCGGUAGUC